This 253-nucleotide ribosomal RNA is filed under the name uncultured bacterium. RNAcentral's name for it is "partial 16S ribosomal RNA". It matches the Rfam family "Bacterial small subunit ribosomal RNA", at positions 524 to 776 of the family's 1533-position model. The record is from RNAcentral.
UACGUAGGGUGCAGGCGUUAAUCGGAAUUACUGGGCGUAAAGCGUGCGCAGGCGGUGAUGUAAGACAGGUGUGAAAUCCCCGGGCUUAACCUGGGAACUGCAUUUGUGACUGCAUUGCUGGAGUGCGGCAGAGGGGGAUGGAAUUCCGCGUGUAGCAGUGAAAUGCGUAGAUAUGCGGAGGAACACCGAUGGCGAAGGCAAUCCCCUGGGCCUGCACUGACGCUCAUGCACGAAAGCGUGGGGAGCAAACAGG